CCCACCCCAAAUUCACAUGUUGAAGCCCUAACCUCCAAUGUGAUGGUAUUUGGAGAUGGGGCCUUUGGAAGGUAAUUAAGGCUAGAUAGGGUCACAAGGUUGGUCCCCUUAUGAUGGCAUUUGUGUUCUUAUACAAAGAGACAGGAGACUCUCUCCAUCAUGUGAAGAUACAGCAAAACAGCAGCUGUCUGCAAGCCAGGAAGGGAACCCUCACCAGGAACCAAACCAUGAUCUCGGACGUCCCAGCCUCUAGGAACGCCUUUCCAUCUUCCUAGAGUGCCUAACCUGGCCUGUGUGCUUGUAAGCUUCUGCUCAUUCUUCAAUACCCAGCAGAGACUUCCUCCUCCAUGCAGCCUUCCAAGACCCACCUGAGUACAGAAAUUGGCUCUUCCUCCUGCUGGUCCUGAGGCACUCCAUGUUCAUCCUAAGAAAGGUCACUUGCUCUGGGGAAAGCCACCUGCCAUGCCGUGAGGACAUUCAAACUGCCUAUGGAGAGGUCCACAUAGUGAAAAACUAAGGCCCCUGCCAAAACCCAUAUCAGAUACCAUCAGCAUAAUGUCAUCAAUGCAGUGGACCAGUGUGACAUGGGGAACAUAAAGAUGGUCACGAUUUUUGCAGACUCCAUAUGCAAAGUAUUAUAGGCCUUUCCAUCUAUCCGGAGUGACCUACCAGAGACAGGACAGUUUGACCAGCAAGCUUCUGAUCACUCUUCAACACCCAGCAAGAAGUCUUAUCCUCCAUGCAGCCUUCUAAGACCUCUCUAAGCACAGGUAUCAGAUCCUCCUCUGGAUCACUCUGUCUUGUUACUGCAUUUAUCUCACUGGAUUUCAGUGACGUGUGUAGACAACUAAUUUGUGCCUGCCUGAUCUGUGAGCUCUUCAUUCAAAGCAGUUGGCUCCUGAGUACAGGAUAAACCCCUAGAAUUGAAUAAAUUUGGUCUUACCUCA
This 947-nucleotide long non-coding RNA is filed under the name Homo sapiens (human). RNAcentral describes it as "HSALNT0381333". The record is from RNAcentral. Lineage: Eukaryota; Metazoa; Chordata; Mammalia; Primates; Hominidae.